AUACGGAGGGAGCAAGCGUUAUUCGGAAUCACUGGGCGUAAAGGACGCGUAGGCGGGUUUGUAAGUCAGGUGUGAAAUCCUACAGCUCAACUGUAGAACUGCACUUGAAACUACAGACCUAGAGUAUGGAAGGGGCAGAUGGAAUUAGUGGUGUAGGGGUAAAAUCCGUAGAUAUCACUAGGAAUACCGAAAGCGAAGGCGAUCUGCUGGGACAUUACUGACGCUGAGGCGUGAAAGCGUGGGGAGCAAACAGGAUUAGAAACCCCGGUAGUCC
Molecule: ribosomal RNA, 274 nt
Filed under: uncultured bacterium
Lineage: Bacteria
Description: partial 16S ribosomal RNA
Rfam family: Bacterial small subunit ribosomal RNA
Source: RNAcentral